UGGAGAGUUUGAUCCUGGCUCAGAUUGAACGCUGGCGGCAGGCCUAACACAUGCAAGUCGAGCGGUAGAGAGAAGCUUGCUUCUCUUGAGAGCGGCGGACGGGUGAGUAAUACCUAGGAAUCUGCCUGAUAGUGGGGGAUAACGUUCGGAAACGGACGCUAAUACCGCAUACGUCCUACGGGAGAAAGCAGGGGACCUUCGGGCCUUGCGCUAUCAGAUGAGCCUAGGUCGGAUUAGCUAGUUGGUGAGGUAAUGGCUCACCAAGGCUACGAUCCGUAACUGGUCUGAGAGGAUGAUCAGUCACACUGGAACUGAGACACGGUCCAGACUCCUACGGGAGGCAGCAGUGGGGAAUAUUGGACAAUGGGCGAAAGCCUGAUCCAGCCAUGCCGCGUGUGUGAAGAAGGUCUUCGGAUUGUAAAGCACUUUAAGUUGGGAGGAAGGGCAGUAAAUUAAUACUUUGCUGUUUUGACGUUACCGACAGAAUAAGCACCGGCUAACUCUGUGCCAGCAGCCGCGGUA
This 522-nucleotide ribosomal RNA is filed under the name Pseudomonas fluorescens. RNAcentral describes it as "bacterial SSU rRNA". It matches the Rfam family "Bacterial small subunit ribosomal RNA", at positions 1 to 522 of the family's 1533-position model. Lineage: Bacteria; Pseudomonadati; Pseudomonadota; Gammaproteobacteria; Pseudomonadales; Pseudomonadaceae. The record is from RNAcentral.